UACGAGGGGUGCAAGCGUUAUUCGGAAUCAUUGGGCGUAAAGGGUGCGUAGACGGCAUAUUAAGUCACUUGUUAAAUAUCUCGGCCUAACCGAGAACAUGCGGGUGAUACUGGUAAGCUAGAGGGUGGAAGAGAGAAGUGGAAUUCUCGGAGUAGCGGUAAAAUGCGUAGAUCUCGAGAGGAACACCGAUGGCGAAGGCAGCUUCUUGGUCCACACCUGACGUUGAGGCACGAAAGCGUGGGGAGCAAACAGGAUUAGAUACCCUGGUAGUCCACGCUGUAAACGAUGAUCACUAGAUGUUAGUUUCGUUUUACGAGAUUAGUGUCGUAGCUAACGCGAUAAGUGAUCCGCCUGGGGAGUACGGUCGCAAGACUAAA
RNAcentral lists this ribosomal RNA (377 nucleotides) under uncultured bacterium. Its description in RNAcentral is "bacterial SSU rRNA". It matches the Rfam family "Bacterial small subunit ribosomal RNA", at positions 524 to 898 of the family's 1533-position model. The record is from RNAcentral.